UACGUAGGGGCCAAGCGUUGUCCGGAUUUAUUGGGCGUAAAGAGCUCGUAGGCGGUUCGGCAAGUCAGCUGUGAAAUCUCCACGCUCAACGUGGAGGGGUCAGCUGAUACUGCUGUGACUCGAGUCCGGUAGGGGAGUGUGGAAUUCCCGGUGUAGCGGUGAAAUGCGCAGAUAUCAGGAGGAACACCGGUGGCGAAGGCGGGUCUCUGGGCCGAUACUGGCGCUGAGGAGCGAAAGCGUGGGGAGCGAACAGG
Molecule: ribosomal RNA, 254 nt
Filed under: uncultured bacterium
Lineage: Bacteria
Description: partial 16S ribosomal RNA
Rfam family: Bacterial small subunit ribosomal RNA
Source: RNAcentral